This 1287-nucleotide non-coding RNA is filed under the name Rhodnius prolixus. RNAcentral describes it as "Eukaryotic small subunit ribosomal RNA". It matches the Rfam family "Eukaryotic small subunit ribosomal RNA", at positions 648 to 1831 of the family's 1831-position model. Lineage: Eukaryota; Metazoa; Arthropoda; Insecta; Hemiptera; Reduviidae. The record is from Rfam by way of RNAcentral.
CCCCCGCCAGUCCACAUUGAUCAUUACCUCAUAUUCCUAAAACCAACAAAAUAGAACCGAGGUCCUGUUUUAUCAUUCCAUGCACCACUAUUCAGGCAGAUAUUUCAGCCUGCUUUAAGCACUCUAAUUUGUUCAAAGUGAACGUGUCGCCCUACCUCGACACUCGUUUAAGAGCACCGAAGUAGGAGAGAUCGGCCAACACGUUCACUUUGAACAAAUUAGAGUGCUUAAAGCAGGCUGAAAUAUCUGCCUGAAUAGUGGUGCAUGGAAUGAUAAAACAGGACCUCGGUUCUAUUUUGUUGGUUUUAGGAAUAUGAGGUAAUGAUCAAUGUGGACUGGCGGGGGCAUUCGUAUUGCGACGUUAGAGGUGAAAUUCUUGGAUCGUCGCAAGACGCACUAGAGCGAAAGCAUUUGCCAAGUAUGUCUUAAUUGAUCAAGAACGAAAGUUAGAGGUUCGAAGGCGAUUAGAUACCGCCCUAGUUCUAACCAUAAACGAUGCCAGCCAGCGAUCCGCCGAUGUUCCUUUAAUGACUCGGCGGGGAGCUUCUACCCGGGAAACCAAAGCUUUUGGGUUCCGGGGGAAGUAUGGUUGCAAAGCUGAAACUUAAAGGAAUUGACGGAAGGGCACCACCAGGAGUGGAGCCUGCGGCUUAAUUUGACUCAACACGGGAAACCUCACCAGGCCAGGACAUUGGAAGGAUUGACAGAUUGAUAGCUCUUUCUUGAUUCAGUGGGUAGUGGUGCAUGGCCGUUCUUAGUUGGUGGAUCGAUUUGUCUGGUUAAUUCCGAUAACGAACGAGACUCUAGCCUAUUAACUAGACGAUACCGGUAUCAAUGCUACCGGCGACACUUAUUCUUCUUAAAGGGACAGGCGGCUUACAGCCGCACGAGAUUGAGCAAUAACAGGUCUGUGAUGCCCUUAGAUGUCCUGGGCCGCACGCGCGCUACACUGAAAGAAUCAGCGUGUACUUCCCUGGCCGAAACGGCCCGGGUAACCCGCUGAACCUCCUUCGUGCUAGGAAUUGGGGCUUGCAAUUGUUCCCCAUGAACGAGGAAUUCCCAGUAAGCGCGAGUCAUAAGCUCGCGUUGAUUACGUCCCUGCCCUUUGUACACACCGCCCGUCGCUACUACCGAUUGAAUGAUUUAGUGAGGUCUUCGGACUGGCGGUUAUUCUUUAUUAACUUUGUUGGUAUUGAUGUACGCUGGAAAGAUGACCAAACUUGAUCAUUUAGAGGAAGUAAAAGUCGUAACAAGGUUUCCGUAGGUGAACCUGCGGAAGGAUCAUUA